Molecule: non-coding RNA, 211 nt
Organism: Paramuricea clavata
Lineage: Eukaryota; Metazoa; Cnidaria; Anthozoa; Malacalcyonacea; Plexauridae
Source: the annotation of a GenBank genome assembly
UAGAUCUAGGCACAAUCUUUUUCUAAAGCGACUGGACCAAACGAAAUAUUGCACUACAAAUCCAAUUAAAUGAAUGAUACUGGGCAGUAGUUUCUUCCUCUAAUCGUCUUGCAAAUUGUUACAUCACGUUCUCCGGGUAAAAGUUUUCAAUUAGAUAUACGAAUCUUAUUCUGGUUGAAGGAAAAUUAAAACAGCACAAGAAGAAGUGAAU